This 1492-nucleotide long non-coding RNA is filed under the name Pogona vitticeps (central bearded dragon). RNAcentral describes it as "lncRNA (ENSPVIG00000025485.1)". Lineage: Eukaryota; Metazoa; Chordata; Lepidosauria; Squamata; Agamidae. The record is from RNAcentral.
CGCGCUCCUGGGCUCCCCCGCGCCUUCCCCAGCCUUCCCUCCGCAGAUGGAUUUCUGCCACUGCGGCUCAGCCGAGGGGCUCGGCGAUCUUCCAGUGAGCGCCCGGCUGGCAAGCGAGCAGAACCUCGGCACGACGCCGGCUCGGGCUGCGUGAAGGCGUGCGGGGGACGAAGCGGACCGAGCUGAGAAGCCGAGGCGGCGAGAGCGAGCGAGCGAGCGCGCGAGGGAGGAAGCGAGCGAGUCGGGGAGAGCCAGCGAAAGCGAGCGAGCGCAAGGGAACGCGGCAAGGGAGAAAAAUGGACAGAGCAAAAACGCAGCGGUUGCAGAAUUUGCGCGGCGCCAUUAGUUCGGCAGCCGGGCGUUCGACUGGGGCGUGAUUUCAGCACCAAGGGGGACUGGACAGCACCCGGAGGGGGGGUCUCCCGGGCAUCCGGCGGCGGCGGCGGCAUCAGAGGCACCAACAGGAGGAAUCCCUGCGGCCGCCUUGCUGCGCGGAAGGAAAGAUCGAGAGGAGAAAGAAGGGGGGAAAACACAGCAAGGUCAGUCCGAAGUCCAAGCCAUGCACAUGGGAGCCUCGCCUCUUCUUCUGCCGCUGCCCCAGCCUCAGCCCUGCCGCUCUCCUCCCGCAGACGCAGCGGCUGUUUCGGCCGAUUCCUAGCUAGAUCGACCCUUUAAGAGAGAGGAGAGAGAGAGAGAGACAGACGAGGUCGGCCCGGAGGGAUUGGCUUUGCUGUUUUUUUGGGGGAGGGGAGGGGGGUCUCCAGGGGUGGAGGUGAUGAAGGCGGGUGUCUUCAACUUUUCUCCAUCCUGUGCCUCGCAGUUCGUGGCUGGAUAGUUUGUGGAUAUGUUCCCGAAGUGGAGUCCGGACUGUUGCAGUCUUUGCAGGGGGAGGGAGCCAAUUUGCUUCUGGUUAUUUUUGAGUUUCCAUUGGAAGUCAACAUCUCCGAUAAUGCCUUCCCAUCUGAAUGUAAAACCGAAAACACAAAUACCCAUGGCAUUUUCUCUGGUGAUAAAAAGUGUUACAUAUUUGUUUGGGGCUUUUUUUGUUAAAGGAACAAACAUCACUGCUGCCGCCACAAAAAGUCAGAAGCAGCUAAGCAGGAUCAGUUAACAUCACCUGAGUGCUUCAGCUUCGAAGUUGAAUGGGAGAAGAUUUUUUGUGCUCUUGUAAAUCACACUCUUUAAACAAAAAAAUGACCUGGAGGAAAAUCUGAGCUGAGGGAGAAAAACAAAACAAAACACAAGCGAGACUUACUAAUUCUAUCUGAGGAUUUUAUAAUGGCAUAUUUUUUCAGUAUUAAAGUGAAAAUGUUUUCAAAGCUUGGUCAUUCCUAUUUGUUUUUUAAACCCCCCUCAGUGUCACUUUGUAAUUGCAGGUGGGAUUUUAAAAUGGAUUGCCUUUUUGGUUGCAGAGUGGAGCCCCUUGCCUUCAUUCAAGUGCAGGUCCAGCCGUGUAUGUCUCUCCAGUUCUAAACCAUGCAAAUUUCACUCA